This is a long non-coding RNA of Sarcophilus harrisii (Tasmanian devil), 490 nucleotides long. RefSeq lists it as uncharacterized. The transcript is spliced from 3 exons. Lineage: Eukaryota; Metazoa; Chordata; Mammalia; Dasyuromorphia; Dasyuridae. The record is from RefSeq and is a predicted model, not a curated record.
UUUGGGACAGUGCAUUGAGAUAAUGAUUCUGUCACUGUGAAUGUUCAGUAGCAUAUAAGAUGUCUUCAGGCAAGAUGAAUGGGAGGUGGAAAAAACUUCAGGCAGAAAAAUAACUCCAAUUAGACAAAAGGAAUGGAAGAAGGCCAGCAUGAGGGCUGAGUUCAACUGCUGUCUCUGACACGUACUGAUUGUAUUAACUAACCAUGGACAAGUCAUUAAACACACGAUUAUCCAGAUCCCUCCCUGAGGCUCUGAGCUGCACAGGACAAGCCAUAAUGCAUUAGGGAAGUCUCCACAUUGUGUUCCCCCAAAAGAUAAAAAUCCAGCCAAAUCUUGGAGGCCUUUCCUGGAUUUCCCUUAUCCUAUAUCCUACCUGCUGAUAUCUUCCAUCUACUCUGAACGUAUCUUUUAUAUACCUGGUCCUUUUUGAGAACAAAGGACAAACAACAGCAGCAAUAUAUCUAUUUUGUGUAUGUUGUCUCAUCAUAUA